The sequence is a transfer RNA, 103 nucleotides long. It matches the Rfam family "tRNA". Rfam says of the family: Transfer RNA (tRNA) molecules are approximately 80 nucleotides in length. The record is from Rfam.
GGCAACGUGGCGGAGUGGUUAACGCGUUGGACUUGAACUGCAUACGAUGCACGUGGCAUAUCCAAUUCCUUCUGGAGCGCCUGUUCGAACCAGGCCGUUGUCG